RNAcentral lists this ribosomal RNA (540 nucleotides) under uncultured bacterium. RNAcentral's name for it is "bacterial SSU rRNA". It matches the Rfam family "Bacterial small subunit ribosomal RNA", at positions 928 to 1466 of the family's 1533-position model. The record is from RNAcentral.
AGCGGUGGAGCAUGUGGUUUAAUUCGAUGCAACGCGAAGAACCUUACCAGGUCUUGACAUCCAACGAAUCUCUCUGAAAGGAGAGAGUGCCUUCGGGAGCGUUGAGACAGGUGGUGCAUGGUUGUCGUCAGCUCGUGUCGUGAGAUGUUGGGUUAAGUCCCGCAACGAGCGCAACCCUUGCCAUUAGUUGCUAACAGGAGAGCUGAGCACUCUAAUGGGACUGCCGGUGACAAGCCGGAGGAAGGUGGGGAUGACGUCAAAUCAUCAUGCCCUUUAUGACCUGGGCUACACACGUGCUGCAAUGGAUGGUACAGAGAGCAGCGAGACCGCGAGGUGGAGCGAAUCUCAAAAAGCCAUUCUCAGUUCGGAUUGUAGUCUGCAACUCGACUACAUGAAGUCGGAAUCGCUAGUAAUCGCGAAUCAGCAUGUCGCGGUGAAUGCGUUCCCGGGCCUUGUACACACCGCCCGUCACACCACGAAAGUCGGCAACACCCGAAGCCAGUGAGCCAACUAGCAAUAGAGGCAGCUGUCGAAGGUGGG